UUAGAAUAUCGUUAUCCUACUCGGAUAACUGUGGCAAUUCUAGAGCUAAUACGUGCAAAAAAGCUCAAACUUUUAAAACGGAAUGAGCGCAUUUAUUAGAAUAAAAACCAAUAGCGGCCGUAAAAAAGCCGUUUUUACAAUUGGUGAAUCUGAAUAACUCUAGCCAAUCGCACGGUCUUGGUACCGGCGAUGUAUCUUUCAAAUGUCUGCCUUAUCAACUUUCGAUGGUAGGUUAUACGCCUACCAUGGUAGUAACGGGUAACGGAGAAUAAGGGUUCGACUCCGGAGAGGGAGCCUGAGAAAUGGCUACCACAUCCAAGGAAGGCAGCAGGCGCGCAAAUUACCCAAUUCCAGAACGGAGAGGUAGUGACGAAAAAUAACGAGACAGUCCUCUUCGAGGUCUGUCAUCGGAAUGGGUACAAUUUAAAUCCUUUAACGAGGAUCUAUUGGAGGGCAAGUCUGGUGCCAGCAGCCGCGGUAAUUCCAGCUCCAAUAGCGUAUAUUAAAGUUGUUGCGGUUAAAACGCUCGUAGUUGGAUCUGCGACUAUUUUGGAGGACGGUCCCCCGAAAGGGCGGUCACUGUUACUCCUGGUCUUUUUUUUAUUCGAGUUACAAAUUUCGCGUUAGGUGCUCUUCAUCGGGCGUCUAACGCGGCUCGAUAGUUUACUUUGAAAAAAUUAGAGUGCUCAAAGCAGGCGAUCUUCCGCCUGAAUAAAAUGCAUGGAAUAAUGGAAUAGGAUCUCGGUUCUAUUUUGUUGGUUUUCGGAGCCCGAGAUAAUGAUUAAGAGGAACAGACGGGGGCAUUCGUAUUCCG
This 814-nucleotide ribosomal RNA is filed under the name Paravulvus hartingii. Its description in RNAcentral is "SSU rRNA". It matches the Rfam family "Eukaryotic small subunit ribosomal RNA", at positions 120 to 901 of the family's 1831-position model. Lineage: Eukaryota; Metazoa; Nematoda; Enoplea; Dorylaimida; Nygolaimidae. The record is from RNAcentral.